UACGGGGGGGGCAAGCGUUGUUCGGAAUUACUGGGCGUAAAGGGCGCGUAGGCGGCCUCUGCAAGUCGACUGUGAAAUCUCCGGGCUUAACCCGGAACGGUCAGCCGAUACUGCAGGGCUAGAGUGCAGAAGGGGCAACUGGAAUUCUCGGUGUAGCGGUGAAAUGCGUAGAUAUCGAGAGGAACACCUGCGGCGAAGGCGGGUUGCUGGGCUGACACUGACGCUGAAGUGCGAAAGCUAGGGGAGCGAACGGG
RNAcentral lists this ribosomal RNA (254 nucleotides) under uncultured bacterium. RNAcentral's name for it is "partial 16S ribosomal RNA". It matches the Rfam family "Bacterial small subunit ribosomal RNA", at positions 524 to 776 of the family's 1533-position model. The record is from RNAcentral.